RNAcentral lists this ribosomal RNA (612 nucleotides) under uncultured fungus. RNAcentral's name for it is "eukaryotic LSU rRNA". It matches the Rfam family "Eukaryotic large subunit ribosomal RNA", at positions 19 to 649 of the family's 3401-position model. Lineage: Eukaryota; Fungi. The record is from RNAcentral.
GGAUACCCGCUGAACUUAAGCAUAUCAAUAAGCGGAGGAAAAGAANNCAACAGGGAUUGCCUCAGUAACGGCGAGUGAAGNGGCAACAGCUCAAAUUUGAANUCUGNCCNCACGGUCCGAGUUGUAAUUUGUAGAGGAAGUCUCGGGUGCGACACCGGCCUAAGUUCCUUGGAACAGGGCGUCAUAGAGGGUGAGAAUCCCGUACGUGGCCGGCCGUCAACCCCAUGUGAGGCUCCUUCGACGAGUCGAGUUGUUUGGGAAUGCAGCUCAAAAUGGGUGGUAUAUUUCAUCUAAAGCUAAAUAUUGGCCAGAGACCGAUAGCGCACAAGUAGAGUGAUCGAAAGAUGAAAAGCACUUUGGAAAGAGAGUUAAACAGUACGUGAAAUUGUUGAAAGGGAAGCGCUUGCAAUCAGACUUGCCCGCGGGUGAUCAACCGUCCUUCGGGGCGGUGCACUCGCCCGUGGUCAGGCCAGCAUCGGUUUUGGCGGCCGGACAAAGGCCCUGGGAACGUGGCUCCUCUCGGGGAGUGUUAUAGCCCAGGGUGCAAUGCGGCCAGCCGGGACCGAGGACCGCGCUUCGGCUAGGAUGCUGGCGUAAUGGUUGUAAGCGACC